GUCAUGAGGGUGGAGCCCUCAUGAAUGAGAUUAGUGUCCUUUUUUUCCUCUCUCUCUUUCUCCUUUUCUGUCUCAGGGAUGAAGCCCUUAGCAGGAACUAAAUCAGCCAGCACCUUGAUCUUGGACUUCCCAGUCUCCAUAACUGCUUGAUAAGGAAGAAAUGGAAGCUACAGUCUCUUUAAGCCUAGCUUUGGGCUGGGUGCUUAUUUAAGCCUUGCUUUGGGCUGAGUGGCUUAUACCUGUAAUUCCAGCAUUUUGGGAGGCUGAGGUGGGCAGACUGCUUGAGCCCAGGAAUUUGAGACCAGCCUGGGCAACAUGGCGAAACCCUGUCUCUACAAAAAAUACACAAAGUAGGUGGGCAUGGUACAUACUUGUAGUCCCAGCUACUUGGGAGGCUGAAGUGGGAGGAUAGCUUGAGCCCAGGAGGCUGAGGUUGCAGUGAGCUGACGUUGUACCACUGUGCUCCAGCCUGAGUGACAGAGCAGUACUCUGCCCCACCCCCACCAAA
Molecule: long non-coding RNA, 508 nt
Filed under: Callithrix jacchus (white-tufted-ear marmoset)
Lineage: Eukaryota; Metazoa; Chordata; Mammalia; Primates; Cebidae
Description: lncRNA (ENSCJAG00000083570.1)
Source: RNAcentral